This 74-nucleotide transfer RNA is filed under the name Monotropa hypopitys (pinesap). RNAcentral's name for it is "tRNA-Arg". It matches the Rfam family "tRNA". Rfam says of the family: Transfer RNA (tRNA) molecules are approximately 80 nucleotides in length. Their secondary structure includes four short double-helical elements and three loops (D, anti-codon, and T loops). Further hydrogen bonds mediate the characteristic L-shaped molecular structure. tRNAs have two regions of fundamental functional importance: the anti-codon, which is responsible for specific mRNA codon recognition, and the 3' end, to which the tRNAs corresponding amino acid is attached (by aminoacyl-tRNA synthetases). tRNAs cope with the degeneracy of the genetic code in two manners: having more than one tRNA (with a specific anti-codon) for a particular amino acid; and 'wobble' base-pairing, i.e. permitting non-standard base-pairing at the 3rd anti-codon position. Lineage: Eukaryota; Viridiplantae; Streptophyta; Magnoliopsida; Ericales; Ericaceae. The record is from RNAcentral.
GGGCCUGUAACUCAGAAGAUUAGAGUCAGUGGCUACGAAUCACGGUGUCAGGGGUUCAAAUCCCUUCUCGCUCA